UAGCUGUUUCUGCUAAGUGAGGUUAUGGUU
RNAcentral lists this non-coding RNA (30 nucleotides) under Rattus norvegicus (Norway rat). The record is from RNAcentral. Lineage: Eukaryota; Metazoa; Chordata; Mammalia; Rodentia; Muridae.